Rhea pennata is the source of this 1716-nucleotide long non-coding RNA. RefSeq lists it as uncharacterized. NCBI's taxonomy places the organism in Eukaryota, Metazoa, Chordata, Aves, Rheiformes, Rheidae. The record is from RefSeq and is a predicted model, not a curated record. The transcript has 2 exons.
CCGAAGGGACCGGGGCGCGCAGAGCGGCGAUGUUUCUUCGCCCGUUGUUUGCGGCCCGAGCCGGCGGAGCAGCUUCAGCUGUACAUUCCUGGGCAGUGAAUAAUAUCGGCUGAGAUUAUGCUGCAGUACCACAUCUACUACAAGCAGAUUAUAACGAUUGAAUAUAACCUAAUUAGGAAAUGCUGAAGGCUGCUGGGUGCGGAAGGGGGCUGGUGGAGCGUCGCUUUGUGUGACCUUCGCUGCCCGAAGAAUGAGAGCUCACGGGGGAUAAAAUAAAGGUAGCGAUGCCGACCUCAGCCCCGAAUCCCCGUGUCGCAAAUGCAGCUCACAUCCCUCCUGCCGUGGCCGCUGAACUGGACAAGUGCUCUCCAGCUCGCGCUUCUACGAAACGCUGCUGCAAACACCUUGGGGAUCCAGCAGGACAAGCCACAUUUGGUCACAUCCUUCUUUUUGAUCCAGGCAAGCUCUCAGAGGAAAAUUUAAUCAUAUUUGGGAUUUCGAAGAGCUCUUGAUAGUCUCCGGUGACAAGAGUGCUCUCUCCGCAGCCCCCUCAGCGCGUGACUGUGUGACCCUCGCAAGCGCAGCUGAGGCGGUGAGCUGUAGUUCCCUUUUCAGCUGGCUCAUUUUAAGUGGAAUUUAGGAUAAUAAGACACUAUAUUUUGUUAGAUUUAUGUAAUUAUAUAAGCGCUGCUAAGACUACAAAUAAAGCCUUAGAUCAUUGUGAAAUAGCAAUAGCAGUCCAAGAAAAACCCCAAGUUACCAGAAGAAUGUUCACUUAUGGAAAGAAAGAUAAAUAUUUCUAGGACUCACAUCAUAAUUUUAGCCCUAUCUGAAGGAAUAUUUUUUUUCCAGUUUAUCUUUUUACCUUUGGUAAUGAGAAGUUACGGUUCUUGCCCUGAGGAACUCCAGUUUCCAUUUAGCUUUCACACAACUGCAUGACGGGAAUGCAGCCCUCCGUGCCGCCGCGUGGCUUUCCCGUGGCUGAAGAUGGGCUUGUCUGGCCCUUGGUGAGCCCCAGUUAACACAAAAGCAGAGCAAAGAAAAAAAAAUACAUUUUGGGUUGCAUAGUGAACUUCCCUAUGCAUUCUUCACCAGAAAUAAUAUAGCAUCGGAUCAAAGAUUAACAUUGAAAAAGGCAAAUCUUUUGCCAAGAUUGUUAGUGUCAAGGAAUUUAGUCAGCUUGUUUGACAUCCAAAAAAAAGGCAUCCAAAAAUCAUGAGCCAAUUUCCCCCCAAAUAACAGGAUUUUAAGGAAUAAAAAUAUUGGUGCUAUUUUUAUUCCUUGAUGUUAGGUACACUUUGUGUGACCUUCUACCUCGUCUGUGGCAUAUCUUGCUCUAAGAACAGCGUAUGAUAUUGUAUUUCAUUCUCCUUAAAGACCUGAGGUGUCCCAGGAAAAUCAGCAGAACUCCCUGACAUUUAACCACUUUCCAUGCAGUUUUACUCAAACCCCAAAUAUUCAUAAAUAACAAUCGUUCUGUAUGUAUAUUAUAUUAAUCAGUGUAAGUUUUCGCAUGAAUAUGGUGGUGUCUGUUUACAUAUAUGCAUAUUAGCAUUAGCUAAAAUGGAGAUUUAUUGCUGUUUAAACAUAAGCUAGAUACUGUACUUCUUUAUUUAGCCUUGCCAGUCCAAACAAGUCCCAAAACGGGAAUCAAGCUUUAAGGUCAGCCGACCACGGUAUUAAAAAAUAAAUAAAUGCUGUAUGCUGUUUUUCUGA